CGAGGCGUGGCCGAACAGUCAAGCAUCUCACUUACACCGAGAAGAUAUCCAUGCAAAUUGGAUCGCCCCGA
Molecule: transfer RNA, 71 nt
Filed under: Osteobrama belangeri (pengba)
Lineage: Eukaryota; Metazoa; Chordata; Actinopteri; Cypriniformes; Cyprinidae
Description: tRNA-Val
Rfam family: tRNA
About the family: Transfer RNA (tRNA) molecules are approximately 80 nucleotides in length.
Source: RNAcentral